This 512-nucleotide ribosomal RNA is filed under the name uncultured bacterium. RNAcentral's name for it is "partial 16S ribosomal RNA". It matches the Rfam family "Bacterial small subunit ribosomal RNA", at positions 28 to 507 of the family's 1533-position model. The record is from RNAcentral.
GAUGAACGCUGGCGGCGUGCCUAAUACAUGCAAGUCGAACGAAACUUCUUUAUCACCGAGUGCUUGCACUCACCGAUAAAGAGUUGAGUGGCGAACGGGUGAGUAACACGUGGGCAACCUGCCCAAAAGAGGGGGAUAACACUUGGAAACAGGUGCUAAUACCGCAUAACCAUAGUUACCGCAUGGUAACUAUGUAAAAGGUGGCUAUACUACCGCUUUUGGAUGGGCCCGCGGCGCAUUAGCUAGUUGGUAGGGUAAAGGCUUACCAAGGCAAUGAUGCGUAGCCGAAUUGAGAGGUUGGUCGGCCACAUUGGGACUGAGACACGGCCCAAACUCCUACGGGAGGCAGCAGUAGGGAAUCUUCCACAAUGGGCGAAAGCCUGAUGGAGCAACGCCGCGUGGGUGAAGAAGGUCUUCGGAUCGUAAAACCCUGUUGUUAGAGAAGAAAGUGCGUGAGAGUAACUGUUCACGUUUCGACGGUAUCUAACCAGAAAGCCACGGCUAACUACGUG